This 266-nucleotide ribosomal RNA is filed under the name Mansonella perstans. RNAcentral describes it as "partial small subunit ribosomal RNA". The record is from RNAcentral. Lineage: Eukaryota; Metazoa; Nematoda; Chromadorea; Rhabditida; Onchocercidae.
UUUAAGAAAAUUUUUAAAAUUUGGUUUAAUUGAACUGGAUUAGUACCCAGGUAAUCAAAAUUAAUUAAUUCGGGAGUAAAGUUUUGUUUAAACCGAAAAAAUAUUGACUGACUCUGGAUUUCUUUUUGGAAUAUGUGUAUGGAGAGCCCUCUUUWAUAGUAAAUCUUUUUUUGCACAUGUAUGAUUGUUUAGUUUUUAUUUURUUUUGUAAUGCUUUWUUUUUAGAUUWAAAACAGAUAUAUAYUUGGCUUAUGGGUUUAUUAAUC